UACGUAGGGGGCAAGCGUUGUCCGGAUUUAUUGGGCGUAAAGAGCUCGUAGGCGGUUCGUCGCGUCGGCUGUGAAAUCCCGAGGCUCAACCUCGGGUCUGCAGUCGAUACGGGCGGACUGGAGUACUGCAGGGGAGACUGGAAUUCCUGGUGUAGCGGUGAAAUGCGCAGAUAUCAGGAGGAACACCGGUGGCGAAGGCGGGUCUCUGGGCAGUUACUGACGCUGAGGAGCGAAAGCGUGGGGAGCGAACAGG
RNAcentral lists this ribosomal RNA (253 nucleotides) under uncultured bacterium. Its description in RNAcentral is "partial 16S ribosomal RNA". It matches the Rfam family "Bacterial small subunit ribosomal RNA", at positions 524 to 776 of the family's 1533-position model. The record is from RNAcentral.